UACGAAGGGAGCUAGCGUUGUUCGGAAUUACUGGGCGUAAAGGGCGCGUAGGCGGCCGUUUAAGUCAGAUGUGAAAGCCUUGGGCUCAACCUGAGAAUUGCAUUUGAUACUGGACGGCUUGAGAUCGAGAGAGGAAAGUAGAAUUAUGAGUGUAGAGGUGAAAUUCGUAGAUAUUCAUAAGAACACCAGUGGCGAAGGCGACUUUCUGGCUCGAUACUGACGCUAAGGCGCGAAAGCGUGGGGAGCAAACAGG
This 253-nucleotide unclassified non-coding RNA is filed under the name uncultured Alphaproteobacteria bacterium. Its description in RNAcentral is "contains 16S-23S intergenic spacer region". It matches the Rfam family "Bacterial small subunit ribosomal RNA", at positions 524 to 776 of the family's 1533-position model. Lineage: Bacteria; Pseudomonadati; Pseudomonadota; Alphaproteobacteria. The record is from RNAcentral.